Molecule: transfer RNA, 90 nt
Filed under: Xylariaceae sp. FL1019
Lineage: Eukaryota; Fungi; Ascomycota; Sordariomycetes; Xylariales; Xylariaceae
Description: tRNA-Lys
Rfam family: tRNA
About the family: Transfer RNA (tRNA) molecules are approximately 80 nucleotides in length. Their secondary structure includes four short double-helical elements and three loops (D, anti-codon, and T loops).
Source: RNAcentral
GCCCGGUUAGCUCAAUCGGUAGAGCGUGGGACUUUUACAAUCUAUCGCUUUGUAAUCCCAAGGUUGCGGGUUCGAGCCCCGCAUCGGGCU